UGGGGAAUCUUGCACAAUGGGCGAAAGCCUGAUGCAGCGACGCCGCGUGGGGGAUGAAUGCCUUCGGGUUGUAAACCCCUUUCGGCAGGGACGAAGCGAAAGUGACGGUACCUGCAGAAGAAGUCCCGGCUAACUACGUGCCAGCAGCCGCGGUAAGACGUAGGGGACGAGCGUUGUCCGGAUUCAUUGGGCGUAAAGCGCGCGUAGGCGGCCGCGCAAGUCGGGUGUGAAAUCCCGGAGCUCAACUCCGGAACUGCACUCGAAACUGCGCGGCUUGAGGUAGGUAGGGGAGAUCGGAAUUCCUGGUGUAGCGGUGGAAUGCGCAGAUAUCAGGAGGAACACCGGUGGCGAAGGCGGAUCUCUGGGCCUUACCUGACGCUGAGACGCGAAAGCUAGGGGAGCGAACAG
RNAcentral lists this ribosomal RNA (408 nucleotides) under uncultured bacterium. Its description in RNAcentral is "bacterial SSU rRNA". It matches the Rfam family "Bacterial small subunit ribosomal RNA", at positions 355 to 775 of the family's 1533-position model. The record is from RNAcentral.